GGUGUCACUGGGAAGGGACUGGGAGCCAGACUGGGAGCACUGGGAGCCUGACUGGGAGCACUGGAAUCCCCCUCCCCCCAUACUGGGAGCACUGGUUUCCCUCUUACCCCAUACUGGUGUCACUGGGAAGGGACUGGGAGCCAGACUGGGAGCACUGGGAGCCUGACUGGGAGCACUGGAAUCCCCCUCCCCCCAUACUCGGAGCACUGGUUUCCCUCUUACCCCAUACUGGUGUCACUGGGAAGGGACUGGGAGCCAGACUGGGAGCACUGGGAGCCUGACUGGGAGCACUGGAAUCCCCCUCCCCCCAUACUCGGAGCACUGGUUUCCCUCUUACCCCAUACUGGUGUCACUGGGAAGGGACUGGGAGCCUUACUGGGAGCACUGGUAUCCCCCUCAACCCAUAUUGGGAGUACUGGGAGCCCUUACUGGUGCCACUGGGAGCAGUGGGAGCUGCACUGGUGUGACUGGGAUCCUUACUGGGAGGAGUGGGGGGGCACUGGGAUCCUUACUGGUGCCACUGGGAUCCCUUACUGGUGUCACUGGUGUCCAUACUGGUGUCACUGGUUUCCCCUUUCCCCCAAACUGGGAGCACUGGUUUCCCCCUCCCCCCAUACUGGUGCCACUGGUGUCACUGGGAGCUGUACUGGGAGCACUGGGAGGGCACUGGUGUCACUGGGAAGGGACUGGGAGCCUUACUGGGAGCACUGGGAGCCCUUUCCCCCCAAACUGGGGGCACUGGUGUCCUUACUGGUGUCACUGGAACCCAUACUGGGAGCACUGGGAGGGCACUGGGACCUGUACUGGGAGCACUGGGAGCCAAACUGGGCUUACUGGGAAGGGGGACUGGGAGCCUUACUGGGAGCACUGGGAGCCCUUUCCCCCCAAACUGGGGGCACUGGUGUCCUUACUGGUGUCACUGGAACCCAUACUGGGAGCACUGGGAGGGCACUGGGACCUGUACUGGGAGCACUGGGAGCCAAACUGGGCUUACUGGGAAGGGACUGGGAGCCCUUACUGGUGUCACUGGGAUCCCCGGGCGAGGGGCGGGGCCGCCGCCGAGGAGCGCGAGUGGGCGUGUCCUUCCCUCCUCCCUCCCCCCUCAUUUGCAUCCCCCUCAUUUGCAUACCGCCUCCCCAUUAGCUGAGCGACGCCCUGCGCGCUCAGGCCCCGCCCACCUGGCUGGGCUCGGCGCGGGCCCUGGAGCGCGCGCUGCUGCUCUGCCCAUUCGCCGGAGCGUUGGGGGGCGGGGCCUUCCUCGGCUCCGCCCUCACCCUCCCACGUGACCGACGGCGCGCCCAACGGGAGGCCCGAGGUGAGGAACGAAGCCCCGCCCCCCUUAAUACCCGGAUGUCCCCCCUCCGGAACCCGGAAGUUUCCCCCUCCGGUACCCGGAUGUCCCCCAGAACCCGGAAGUUCCCCCCUCCGGUACCCGGAUGUCCCCCAGAACCCGGAAGUCCCCAAACCCGGAAGUUCUCUCCUUAACCUCCCCCCCAUUUAAAGGGCCCGCGUCCCCUUNNNNNNNNNNNNNNNNNNNNNNNNN
Molecule: long non-coding RNA, 1543 nt
Filed under: Calidris pugnax (ruff)
Lineage: Eukaryota; Metazoa; Chordata; Aves; Charadriiformes; Scolopacidae
Description: lncRNA (ENSCPUG00000000073.1)
Source: RNAcentral